GGCCUCGUAGCUCAGUUGGCAGAGCAUUGGACUAGUAUCCCAAAGAUCGCGGGUUUGAUUCCCACCGUGGUCA
Molecule: transfer RNA, 73 nt
Filed under: Paramuricea clavata
Lineage: Eukaryota; Metazoa; Cnidaria; Anthozoa; Malacalcyonacea; Plexauridae
Rfam family: tRNA
About the family: Transfer RNA (tRNA) molecules are approximately 80 nucleotides in length. Their secondary structure includes four short double-helical elements and three loops (D, anti-codon, and T loops).
Source: Rfam by way of RNAcentral